Molecule: long non-coding RNA, 510 nt
Organism: Cataglyphis hispanica
Lineage: Eukaryota; Metazoa; Arthropoda; Insecta; Hymenoptera; Formicidae
Exons: 2
Source: RefSeq, a predicted model, not a curated record
AAAUUCGAAAAAAAAUGGUGGAGACGGAUAUAAGCGGAUCCGCGAUUAAAGGACCUUAUCAAGAAAUCAAAAAGGACAAGGUAGAACAUACAUCGUCGAGAGAACAGCAGCAACAAUAUUAUCAACAGCAAGCAUCCAGGAAGAAUGACAAACACGGUUCAUGGGGCUCGAUCUUUAAAAACAAGGAUAACUUUGUCGACAUGCAUAUAUGUUAAUGUGCCUUCAACAAAAUAUAUCCUUCAUGUAUGACAUUAUGAUUAAUGCAUUCACGCGCGUUAAGCUUGAAACAAGAUGCAAGAUAUUUUUCACGAAAGUAUUUGGAAUAAAAAUUAUCUCUCAAAUGCUUCUUAUAAUAUGUUAAAUUUAAAAUAGCAUUUAUAAUUCCGUGGCAUUAUUUCUCAUUUGAUUAGUAGCAUAACUUCGAACUAAUUUUCUAUCGAAAAAAAUAAUUUGACUUGUAUCUAAAAGAGAUAAAAUAUCAAGUAAAUAUAUCUAUAAUUUGCAAACACA